RNAcentral lists this ribosomal RNA (492 nucleotides) under uncultured bacterium. RNAcentral describes it as "partial 16S ribosomal RNA". It matches the Rfam family "Bacterial small subunit ribosomal RNA", at positions 29 to 507 of the family's 1533-position model. The record is from RNAcentral.
AGUGAACGCUGGCGGUAGGCCUAACACAUGCAAGUCGAACGGCAGCACAGUAAGAGCUUGCUCUUACGGGUGGCGAGUGGCGGACGGGUGAGGAAUACAUCGGAAUCUACUUUUUCGUGGGGGAUAACGUAGGGAAACUUACGCUAAUACCGCAUACGACCUACGGGUGAAAGCAGGGGAUCUUCGGACCUUGCGCGAUUGAAUGAGCCGAUGUCGGAUUAGCUAGUUGGCGGGGUAAAGGCCCACCAAGGCGACGAUCCGUAGCUGGUCUGAGAGGAUGAGCAGACAAACUGGAACUGAGACACGGUCCAGACUCCUACGGGAGGCAGCAGUGGGGGAUGUUGGACAAUGGGCGCAAGCCUGAUCCAGCCAUUCCGCGUGGAAGAAGAAGGACUUCGGGUUGUACAGCCCUUUUGUUGGGAAAGAAAAGCAGCAGGUUAGUACCCCGCGGUUCUGACGGUACCGAAAGAAUAAGCACCGGCUAACUUCGUG